AUGGAGGUGAAAGGAGCGGGGCGCGGGGGACUCUGCCUUGCUGUGCUCUGUGUGGGUGUUGCGCUUGCCCUCAAGGGAGAGGGUGAGGGGGACAACAACAUCACCCAGCACAGCGAUAUCUCGGAGGCCACGGGGGCUCCCACCACGGCCACCUGGGAUGUGAGUGGGCUGACAACGGGACCAGUGGGCUCCCCCAGCCCCUCUGAUACUGGGAACCUCACCACCAUCACUGUGCCACUGCAAGCAGGUGCCCCAGGGAACCAAACCCGAAAUGAGUCGGGUUUCCCCAUCAGGUACUGGUCCCCCAUCAUUUUCGUGGUCCUCGCUCUGCUCGUGCUCCUCUUCACCUACCGCAGGACCAAAGGCAAUGGGUCGCAAGAGCCAACCACCUCCAUCAGUGACUUUUCAGAUGAGGCCACCCCAGAAAACGACACAGCUCUGAUUGUUACUGCUGCCCAGAAGAGAUCAGACAACCCUCCGCCCCAGGAGCUGAGCAAGACCACCCCCUGCCAGCCAGCCCCCCCCUCAGAACAGCCUUCCCAGGAGCCCACGGAUCCCACCACUGCAGGCAGUUCCCUCUGCUCUGGGGUUCCUGUUGACGACUGAGGGUAAAGCAGGGGAACCAGCAGCUUUUGGACACCCUGAAGGAGCACGAGGCCACUCCAGAGGGACAAACUGUGCCAACACACCUGGGCAGGAGACAGAUGGAUGCUAGAGGAUGUGAGCAUCACACACCACCUUGGUCCAGCCGAAGGAUGCUCAAUGCAUGGUCACCUCCCUGCAAGAUGAGGACCUGUGUGGGACGUGUACAUUUACUGUACCUAAGGGUAGGGCUGGGGGGGGUCACAAUGGAACCAAUAAAGCAGCCUUUUGCCCUAGAAAUCCUGGAUUU
RNAcentral lists this long non-coding RNA (892 nucleotides) under Chrysolophus pictus (golden pheasant). Its description in RNAcentral is "lncRNA (ENSCPIG00010009942.1)". The record is from RNAcentral. Lineage: Eukaryota; Metazoa; Chordata; Aves; Galliformes; Phasianidae.